CCUACGGGUGGCAGCAGUGAGGAAUAUUGGUCAAUGGACGGAAGUCUGAACCAGCCAUGCCGCGUGAAGGAUGACGACCCUAUGAGUUGUAAACUGCUUUUAUAUGAGGGUAAAGUUGAAUACGUGUACUCUGCUGAAAGUACUCUACGAAUAAGGAUCGGCUAACUCCGUGCCAGCAGCCGCGGUAAUACGGAGGAUCCAAGCGUUAUCCGGAUUUAUUGGGUUUAAAGGGCGCGUAGGCGGAGUGUUAAGUUAGGGGUGAAAGGUCCGGGCUCAACCGUGGAACUGCAUCUGAUACUGGUGGUCUAGAGAGUAGCAGGGGUAGGCGGAAUGUGUGGUGUAGCGGUGAAAUGCUUAGAGAUCACGAAGAACACCGAUUGCGAAGGCAGCUUACUAAACUGUAACUGACGCUGAGGCACGAAAGCGUGGGGAGCAAACAGGAUUAGAUACCCGGGUAGUC
This 460-nucleotide ribosomal RNA is filed under the name uncultured bacterium. Its description in RNAcentral is "partial 16S ribosomal RNA". It matches the Rfam family "Bacterial small subunit ribosomal RNA", at positions 338 to 795 of the family's 1533-position model. The record is from RNAcentral.